CAGCCGCCACGGGAAUACGAAGGGUGCAAGCGUUAAUCGGAAUUACUGGGCGUAAAGCGUGCGUAGGCGGUUUGUUAAGUCUGUUGUGAAAUCCCCGGGCUCAACCUGGGAAUGGCAAUGGAUACUGGCAAGCUAGAGUGUGUCAGAGGAUGGUGGAAUUCCCGGUGUAGCGGUGAAAUGCGUAGAGAUCGGGAGGAACAUCAGUGGCGAAGGCGGCCAUCUGGGACAACACUGACGCUGAGGCACGAAAGCGUGGGGAGCAAACAGGAUUAGAUACCCGCGUAGUCCCUGUCUCUUAUAC
RNAcentral lists this ribosomal RNA (301 nucleotides) under uncultured bacterium. RNAcentral describes it as "partial 16S ribosomal RNA". It matches the Rfam family "Bacterial small subunit ribosomal RNA", at positions 509 to 807 of the family's 1533-position model. The record is from RNAcentral.